Molecule: ribosomal RNA, 175 nt
Filed under: Paracoccaceae bacterium
Lineage: Bacteria; Pseudomonadati; Pseudomonadota; Alphaproteobacteria; Rhodobacterales; Paracoccaceae
Description: Rhodobacteraceae bacterium (freshwater metagenome) partial 16S ribosomal RNA
Rfam family: Bacterial small subunit ribosomal RNA
Source: RNAcentral
GUGAAUACGUUCCCGGGCCUUGUACACACCGCCCGUCACAUCAUGAAAGCCGGUUCUGCCCGAAGUACAUGAGUUAACCGCAAGGAGACAGUGUCCUAAGGUGGGGCUGGUGAUUGGGAUGAAGUCGUAACAAGGUAGCCGUAGGGGAACCUGCGGCUGGAUCACCUCCUUUCUA